Molecule: long non-coding RNA, 448 nt
Filed under: Fukomys damarensis (Damara mole-rat)
Lineage: Eukaryota; Metazoa; Chordata; Mammalia; Rodentia; Bathyergidae
Description: lncRNA (ENSFDAG00000023930.1)
Source: RNAcentral
AGCAGGUGUCAAGUUACUCUUUUGGUGGGAGAAGAGGCAUGUUGGGAACAAGAAGCCUGUCCUUGUUGGGAGAAGUCAUAUUUUAACAUGGAGGCUGCUGUUCCCUGUGGCAACCAUCUUAAGUUAGGGCUGCUGACAUUGCUACAGCACAAGGAAAGCCUGCUUAGGCCCAAUCCAUGGGACUGGGUAGCCAUGCCCUCCCCUGCCUAUACCACCACCAUCACGCCAACACAAGGAAGGCCUGCUUGGGCCCAAUCUGCAGGACCAGGUAGCCACGACCACCCCUGCCUGUUCUACCACCAUCGCUCCAGUGCAAGGAAGGUAGCUGCACGGACACCCCUAAUGACCCCCACCCCCCAUGCUCUCAGACCUUCUGAUUGUGGCAGUCUUUGGACUCACUCUGCAGAGGCAUAGGUUGUCAUAAAGGGUAUUUUUCUUAGCUCCCAAC